This 424-nucleotide ribosomal RNA is filed under the name uncultured bacterium. RNAcentral describes it as "bacterial SSU rRNA". It matches the Rfam family "Bacterial small subunit ribosomal RNA", at positions 355 to 796 of the family's 1533-position model. The record is from RNAcentral.
UGGGGAAUAUUGGACAAUGGGCGCAAGCCUGAUCCAGCCAUGCCGCGUGAGUGAUGAAGGCCCUAGGGUUGUAAAGCUCUUUCGUCAGGGACGAUAAUGACGGUACCUGAAGAAGAAGCCCCGGCUAACUUCGUGCCAGCAGCCGCGGUAAUACGAAGGGGGCUAGCGUUGUUCGGAAUCACUGGGCGUAAAGCGCACGUAGGCGGAUCUUUAAGUCAGGGGUGAAAUCCCGAGGCUCAACCUCGGAACUGCCUUUGAUACUGGGGAUCUCGAGUCCGGGAGAGGUGAGUGGAAUUGCGAGUGUAGAGGUGAAAUUCGUAGAUAUUCGCAAGAACACCAGUGGCGAAGGCGGCUCACUGGCCCGGUACUGACGCUGAGGUGCGAAAGCGUGGGGAGCAAACAGGAUUAGAUACCCCCGUAGUCC